CUGAGCGCUCACUUUAGUGACACUAAAAUUGGAACAGUAUAGAUGUUCGUGGUCCCCGUGCAAGGGAUGACACACAGAUUCGUGAAGCAUUCCAUGUUUUU
RNAcentral lists this small nuclear RNA (101 nucleotides) under Dipodomys ordii (Ord's kangaroo rat). The record is from RNAcentral. Lineage: Eukaryota; Metazoa; Chordata; Mammalia; Rodentia; Heteromyidae.